Pseudomonas sp. is the source of this 213-nucleotide regulatory RNA element. It matches the Rfam family "sucA-II RNA". The record is from Rfam. Lineage: Bacteria; Pseudomonadati; Pseudomonadota; Gammaproteobacteria; Pseudomonadales; Pseudomonadaceae.
CUGCAACGUCGGUUUAGCCGACGUUGCAGUUAAGCUUGAAUCACAGCCCACAAAGCGGUGGUUCUUAAUUUGGAAAAUAUGAUGACCAGCAGGGGCAUCCGGGCUGGUACCCGGACUAUCUGCGGGAUCCGUGGUGGCUUACCAGUCGCUGCUUCAAGACUGGACAGUCAUGCGGUUUCUUCGCCGGUGGAGUCCCCUUACCGAGGGUGACCA